GUAUAUACAUAUUGUAUGGUGGAAAGAAUAGGAAGAAAAAUGGGUGGAUAAGAUUAAGAAAGAGAGAGUUAUCAGGAAGUGCAAAAAAGAGAAAAGGAAAAGAAAGAAAAAACAAGAAAGAAAGAGAAGAAGAAAACGUGAAGGAAGAGGAGAGAAAAGAAGAGGAAGGAAGAAGAAACCAUCAUCUCAUCUCCAUCAUCAUCAUUACCAACUUCAUCUCCAUAUCAUCAAUCUCAUCGUCAUCUUCUUGAAUCAAGUGAGUUCUAGUUAGUUUCCUCUCUAGAGUGAGAUUAUCAUGAAAUAGAAUACUAAGGUUUGGUGUUGUUGUCUUG
Molecule: long non-coding RNA, 332 nt
Filed under: Lathyrus oleraceus (garden pea)
Lineage: Eukaryota; Viridiplantae; Streptophyta; Magnoliopsida; Fabales; Fabaceae
Description: Pisum sativum (pea) long non-coding RNA (PSAT_LNC019706)
Source: RNAcentral